GUGAUUGCUUGGGCAGUACAUAUACUAAAAUUAGAACAACAGAGAAACAAUUUAGCAUGGCCCCAGAGAAAGAAUGACAUGCAGAUUCAUGAAGUAUUCUAUAUUUGU
Small nuclear RNA from Cercocebus atys (sooty mangabey), 108 nucleotides. The record is from Ensembl. Lineage: Eukaryota; Metazoa; Chordata; Mammalia; Primates; Cercopithecidae.